This 760-nucleotide ribosomal RNA is filed under the name uncultured Enterobacteriaceae bacterium. RNAcentral's name for it is "bacterial SSU rRNA". It matches the Rfam family "Bacterial small subunit ribosomal RNA", at positions 28 to 776 of the family's 1533-position model. The record is from RNAcentral. Lineage: Bacteria; Pseudomonadati; Pseudomonadota; Gammaproteobacteria; Enterobacterales; Enterobacteriaceae.
AUUGAACGCUGGCGGCAGGCCUAACACAUGCAAGUCGAGCGGCAGCGGAAAGUAGCUUGCUACUUUGCCGGCGAGCGGCGGACGGGUGAGUAAUGUCUGGGAAACUGCCUGAUGGAGGGGGAUAACUACUGGAAACGGUAGCUAAUACCGCAUGACCUCGAAAGAGCAAAGUGGGGGACCUUCGGACCUCACGCCAUCGGAUGUGCCCAGAUGGGAUUAGCUAGUAGGUGAGGUAAUGGCUCACCUAGGCGACGAUCCCUAGCUGGUCUGAGAGGAUGACCAGCCACACUGGAACUGAGACACGGUCCAGACUCCUACGGGAGGCAGCAGUGGGGAAUAUUGCACAAUGGGCGCAAGCCUGAUGCAGCCAUGCCGCGUGUGUGAAGAAGGCCUUAGGGUUGUAAAGCACUUUCAGCGAGGAGGAAGGCACCAUACUUAAUACGUGUGGUGAUUGACGUUACUCACAGAAGAAGCACCGGCUAACUCCGUGCCAGCAGCCGCGGUAAUACGGAGGGUGCAAGCGUUAAUCGGAAUUACUGGGCGUAAAGCGCACGCAGGCGGUUUGUUAAGUCAGAUGUGAAAUCCCCGCGCUUAACGUGGGAACUGCAUUUGAAACUGGCAAGCUAGAGUCUUGUAGAGGGGGGUAGAAUUCCAGGUGUAGCGUUGCAAUGCUUAUAAGAUCUGGGAGGAAUACCGGUGGCGAAAGCGGCCCCCUGGACAACAACUGAUCUCAGGUGCAAAAAUGGGGGGGACAAUUACG